UCCGCAUGCUCCUUACGUCUAGGGCUACACACGUCCUACAAUGGGGUCGACAAUGGGAUGCAAUAUCGCAAGAUGGAGCCCAAUCCCCAAACGGCCUCUCAGUUCGGAUUGUAGUCUGCAACUCGACUACAUGAAGUUGGAAUCGCUAGUAAUGGCAGAUCAGCAUGCUGCCGUGAAUACGGUUCCCGGGUCUU
Molecule: ribosomal RNA, 194 nt
Filed under: uncultured bacterium
Lineage: Bacteria
Description: partial 16S ribosomal RNA
Rfam family: Bacterial small subunit ribosomal RNA
Source: RNAcentral